GACGAACGCUGGAGGCGUGCUUAACACAUGCAAGUCGAACGAUGAAAUGGAGCUUGCUCCAUGGAUUAGUGGCGAACGGGUGAGUAACACGUGAAUCACCUGCCCUUAAUUUUGGAAUAACCCAGGGAACCCUGGGCUAAUACCGGUUAAGUAAACCUGUGGCAUCACAUGGUCUUGGAAAGUUUUUCGAUUAAGGAUGGAUUCGCGGCCUAUCAGCUUGUUGGUGGGGUAAUGGCUCACCAAGGCGACGACGGGUAGCCGGCCUGAGAGGGUGAACGGCCACACUGGGACUGAGACACGGCCCAGACUCCUACGGGAGGCAGCAGUGGGGAAUAUUGCGCAAUGGACGAAAGUCUGACGCAGCGACGCCUCGUGAGGGACGAAGGUCUUCGGAUUGUAAACCUCUUUCAGCAGGGACGAAGCGAAAGUGACGGUACCUGCAGAAGAAGCACCGGCUAACUAUGUGCCAGCAGCCACCGUAA
This 482-nucleotide ribosomal RNA is filed under the name uncultured bacterium. RNAcentral's name for it is "partial 16S ribosomal RNA". It matches the Rfam family "Bacterial small subunit ribosomal RNA", at positions 28 to 523 of the family's 1533-position model. The record is from RNAcentral.